UGGCUUCUUUUUUUGUACACUUCCAGCCCAGGCUAUUGGACUGGACAGCUCUGCACUAUUUUUUUUUCUUCCUCUGAAGCUUCUUGACUUCUUUCUCUCUUACUUGAUCCUCAGCAGACCUAGCUACUUUGAUGAUAUUAUGGGAUGACAGCCAGAACUGAAAAUAAGAAGAAAGAAGCCUACUGACAAAGUGUUGUGUUGGUUUUUUUUCCGUCAAAAAUGUAUAUGUGUCAUCAGUGGUUUUGAUGCCAAAAUCCUUGUGCAAUGAACACAACUGGCAUGAACACUUGGAUGCCUUCCAAAUGCAGAUGGGAUUGUCAAAGAAAUGAUGAAGGUCACAGCUUUCCAGCUACCAUCUGAGUGAUUUGCAACAGAAGCUGCUUUUAACACUGGGACUGCAAUCCUGAUUUCACUGAAAUAAACAAGACUUUGGUCACUGACUUGAA
Gallus gallus (chicken) is the source of this 446-nucleotide long non-coding RNA. RefSeq lists it as uncharacterized. The record is from RefSeq and is a predicted model, not a curated record. The transcript has 2 exons. NCBI's taxonomy places the organism in Eukaryota, Metazoa, Chordata, Aves, Galliformes, Phasianidae.